CAGUGGGGAAUUUUGGACAAUGGGCGCAAGCCUGAUCCAGCCAUGCCGCGUGCAGGAUGAAGGCCUUCGGGUUGUAAACUGCUUUUGUACGGAACGAAAAGACUCUGGUUAAUACCUGGGGUCCAUGACGGUACCGUAAGAAUAAGCACCGGCUAACUACGUGCCAGCAGCCGCGGUAAUACGUAGGGUGCGAGCGUUAAUCGGAAUUACUGGGCGUAAAGCGUGCGCAGGCGGUUAUAUAAGACAGAUGUGAAAUCCCCGGGCUCAACCUGGGAACUGCAUUUGUGACUGUAUAGCUAGAGUACGGCAGAGGGGGAUGGAAUUCCGCGUGUAGCAGUGAAAUGCGUAGAUAUGCGGAGGAACACCGAUGGCGAAGGCAAUCCCCUGGGCCUGUACUGACGCUCAUGCACGAAAGCGUGGGGAGCAAACAGGAUUAGA
This 438-nucleotide ribosomal RNA is filed under the name uncultured bacterium. RNAcentral describes it as "bacterial SSU rRNA". It matches the Rfam family "Bacterial small subunit ribosomal RNA", at positions 352 to 782 of the family's 1533-position model. The record is from RNAcentral.